UCAGAAGUAAAACGGUCUGCGCGCCUGAAUCACCAUGCAUCAUAUGCACGUUAUAUAACUUAGCAGUUCCAAGUCUAUGCGCAAUGUAAACUGUGCUGGCUGUCAGAUUCGGAUGGAUGAUUCUCUAAAGCAUCAUGUGAUGGCCACCAAUGCAUAGGAUGAUUGGUACUGUCAGUUAAUUGUCUGCGCGCAUCAUAUCUUCUGAAAAUACUUGUCAUGUUAUCAUGUUCUGGAUGGCGAAUAGAAAUCCAUUUUGCUCAUGCUGCCAAUGUGCUCCCUGCUGGUUUUUUCUGCCUGGAUUUGAACUGGCCACUGGAGAAUCUCGGGCCUUUUACUGAUUUUCAGUUUGAGUUUUGGACCAAUUAGUCGGCGACAAUUCAGUGUUUCGGUGGUAACCAGUAUUCCUUGAUUCCUGAAAAACAGAGUGCGUUCGAAUGUUAAGGUGAUGUCUUCUGGCUUUAUGGUUGGGUAAACACUCAUAUGGUGGGAGCUAGACGGUGGCGACUAUUUUGUCAUGACUCAUUAACAGAAGGAGUUGCUCCAACUAAAGCUCAAGCAACCUUUGGCCACUGCUGAUUGGAGGAUGGCCAUGAAUCUAGCGUAUGUUGGAAGUAGUAAAUAGACGAGUCUUAUAACAUGAGCUGUUUGUAGUACAGUCUUUUAUGCAAGGAUACUAGCAGGGUAAUGGAAGAACAUUAUAUUGAUCACAUGAGAAGGGAGAACGUACCUGAUGACCUCAAAUAUCAUAUUCAACGUGGAGAAGUUGAGU
Long non-coding RNA from Setaria italica (foxtail millet), 769 nucleotides. RefSeq lists it as uncharacterized. The record is from RefSeq and is a predicted model, not a curated record. Lineage: Eukaryota; Viridiplantae; Streptophyta; Magnoliopsida; Poales; Poaceae. The transcript is spliced from 3 exons.